RNAcentral lists this ribosomal RNA (405 nucleotides) under uncultured bacterium. RNAcentral's name for it is "bacterial SSU rRNA". It matches the Rfam family "Bacterial small subunit ribosomal RNA", at positions 355 to 777 of the family's 1533-position model. The record is from RNAcentral.
UGGGGAAUAUUGCGCAAUGGGGGCAACCCUGACGCAGCAACGCCGCGUGAGCGAUGAAGGUUUUCGGAUCGUAAAGCUCUGUUCUGAGGGAAGAUAAUGACGGUACCUCAGGAGAAAGCCCCGGCUAACUACGUGCCAGCAGCCGCGGUAAUACGUAGGGGGCAAGCGUUGUCCGGAUUCACUGGGCGUAAAGAGCACGUAGGCGGUUAAUUAAGUCAGGUGUGAAAGUUUUCGGCUCAACCGGAAAAGUGCACUUGAAACUGGAUAACUUGAGUAUCGGAGAGGUAAGCGGAAUUCCUAGUGUAGCGGUGAAAUGCGUAGAGAUUAGGAAGAACACCGGUGGCGAAGGCGGCUUACUGGACGAUAACUGACGCUGAGGUGCGAAAGCGUGGGGAGCGAACAGGA